This is an RNA transcript of Cryptotermes secundus, 736 nucleotides long. RefSeq lists it as uncharacterized. Lineage: Eukaryota; Metazoa; Arthropoda; Insecta; Blattodea; Kalotermitidae. The record is from RefSeq and is a predicted model, not a curated record. The transcript is spliced from 4 exons.
CUCGGGGAGCUAGAACCAGCCCCGAGCAAGGAAACCGGCCAGCCAAGUUCCGUGCUCCUACCUCGGGCGGCCCCGGAUAGCUGCGGCAGCCAUCUUGCUGCCACAAUUUCCCAGCAUCCUCUGAAACGUAUCCGCCAUAGCAACUGGACGCCUUCUUGUUUUAACCCAAUAUUUGUGCUCAAUUUUUGCUGUUUUCUUGAAGCUUUGCAAAUUAUAAUUUAUAUAAGUGCAUCUAGUUUCACUGUGUGGGGUUUGCAAAUAAUUUGCUGUGAUGAUUUUAUACUUUAAUGGCUGCUUUCACUGCUUAUGUAUUCUUUUCUUUUUUGCUGAUGCUUCAUGGCUUUGUGUGCUGAAUCUUUUAUGUAUAUGCGAUUACGUGUUAUUUUCUUCGUAUACGUGCGUGUGCGUGAGACUGAUAACAAAUGGUUUAAUCAGGUCGGGUCAAACGACUCUAGUGCAGCUUCCCCAGUGAGUGCCAUAAAAGUGAUACAACAUAGAACUACAGCGUACGGGGCAACUCUGGCAAAGAAGAGACGAACUCUGACGGCGCGCAGUUACGUCUACGUGCCUCAGGAAUUCGGCUUUUGAAACUUCAGGAAGAAAACAAAUGUACUAAGCAGUUUCAGGCGCUGCAUCUAAGACACGUUCAGAAACCUUUCAACGCGGUUGAGCCUUCGUUACGGACAAAUGGAAAAGAAAAAAGGGACAGAUUUAAACCACAGUGCAUAGAUUUCCA